UAAUGAAACUCAAGGCUACUUUUUCAGCAGGAUGUGGGCCAAGCUGAUGAUGCUCAAAAAUUGAUUUAUUGGAGAAGAUACCCAACCAUUGGCCUACUAGAUCCACUGGACUUGACGUUCACAGAUGUUUUGAUCUGGAUAAGACAUAAUUUUGAUAUUGAGAGCAACUGGUGGGAAAUCAGUGACGAAAAGUGUGCCUGUUACAGGAAUACUCUCCACGAAAUAUAUAGGAACGAAGACAUGGCAAUGCGGUUUUCUAAAAAUGGAUCAGUUACUAUCCUGCGGCUUCCUUUAAUGUUUAAUUUUAAACCGUAUCGAAAACAUGGGAAAAACGUACGUGAGAUCCGACUCAAGGAAAAUAACCAAUAAGAAUCAACUAUAAACAUGCUUUAUUACUAUAUUUCCACUUCGUACCAGAUCAUUUGAAGAACAACAAAAACCACAAAUUUCACAAAAAAACUGGAGUUACCUCAGGGGUAAUGGUAAG
This is a long non-coding RNA of Harmonia axyridis, 487 nucleotides long. RefSeq lists it as uncharacterized. NCBI's taxonomy places the organism in Eukaryota, Metazoa, Arthropoda, Insecta, Coleoptera, Coccinellidae. The transcript is spliced from 3 exons. The record is from RefSeq and is a predicted model, not a curated record.